RNAcentral lists this ribosomal RNA (319 nucleotides) under uncultured Pseudomonadota bacterium. RNAcentral describes it as "bacterial SSU rRNA". It matches the Rfam family "Bacterial small subunit ribosomal RNA", at positions 28 to 351 of the family's 1533-position model. The record is from RNAcentral. Lineage: Bacteria; Pseudomonadati; Pseudomonadota.
AUUGAACGCUGGCGGUAUGCUUAACACAUGCAAGUCGAACGGUAGCAGGCCUUCGGGCGCUGACGAGUGGCGGACGGGUGAGUAACGCGUAGGAAUCUGCCUCAUAGUGGGGGACAACGUGGGGAAACUCACGCUAAUACCGCAUACGCCCUACGGGGGAAAGCGGGGGCUCUUCGGACCUCGCGCUGGUGGACGAGCCUACGUCCGAUUAGCUGGUUGGUGGGGUAACGGCCCACCAAGGCGACGAUCGGUAGCGGGUCUGAGAGGACGACCCGCCACACUGGGACUGAGACACGGCCCAGACUCCUACGGGUGGCAG